GAACAAACCCGCAAGAACCCGCAGGACUUUUUUUUUUCUCAUCGGCAGAUCUCGCGAAACCUGGCUGUCGCCGCCGGCCCGCCGCCACCAUAGUUGACAUCUCCGCCCAGCCACCCCGAUGCAUUUGACACCCAAAUCCCCGUCCGACCGCCCGCUGCCCAUAACCGGUCAUCUUCUCGCGCCGCCCACCACGAAGUCGCUCGAGGGCCGACCCAGACGCCCUGCAUCUACACUGCCACUGCUCCGGCCAGUCUGGCGCCGCCGUGGAGAUGCCUAGCAGCACAGUAGUGCGCCAGCGCCCGAGCAUCUAGCUUCUGUGGUCUCCGCUCAACUACUCAGCCAGCCUGCGGGCUAAGCCGUUACGCUCUGCCAUGUCACCAAGUAGCAGCCACCCCUGCGCGCUGCUCUGCAAGUCUGCAUCUCAGGGCCCAAGGAAGAAGAUUCUCCUUGCAGUGGGUCCUCAGUCGAAGCAACGGCAAAGAUGAGCAGCAUGAUCUGCGACUUGGAAUUUGGAAACAUUUAUUUGGUAACUGCAAAUUAUUGGUGUAACUGAAGAAUGCCUUACUGCAGAUCUUGUAGGUCCUCCGUAUGUGCUUGAAGGAGAUUCGCAGUUGUACUCCAGAUAGUGAAUUAUAACAUAAGUUGAUGAAACAUGAGCAUGUUGCAUCAUGCAUCAUCAGACUGUCAGAUGCCUGUUUCUAAUAUUCUUUCUUAAAAGGACACGUCAGGUGUUGCAACCCAUUUUUCUCACCAAGCAGGGUGUUCAGUGGGAUAGAAUACUUCUAUCGAGAUUAUCACAGUACUGUAUCAGGCAUUUAAUUAGUAUUCAGAAAACCGUAUGUGUUUUGAAGUUGAGCUGCUGCAUGCACGUGAAGGACCUGAAUUGGUUGCUAAUUAUUUGAUAAUAGAAUGCACUAUUCAGUUUUGGAUUA
Long non-coding RNA from Panicum virgatum (switchgrass), 932 nucleotides. RefSeq lists it as uncharacterized. The transcript is spliced from 2 exons. NCBI's taxonomy places the organism in Eukaryota, Viridiplantae, Streptophyta, Magnoliopsida, Poales, Poaceae. The record is from RefSeq and is a predicted model, not a curated record.